RNAcentral lists this unclassified non-coding RNA (335 nucleotides) under soil metagenome. Its description in RNAcentral is "partial contains 5.8S ribosomal RNA, internal transcribed spacer 2, and large subunit ribosomal RNA". The stretch from base 1 to 120 matches the Rfam family "5.8S ribosomal RNA", at positions 35 to 154 of the family's 154-position model. The record is from RNAcentral.
GAUGAAGAACGCAGCGAAAUGCGAUAAGUAAUGUGAAUUGCAGAAUUCAGUGAAUCAUCGAAUCUUUGAACGCACAUUGCGCCCGCCAGUAUUCUGGCGGGCAUGCCUGUUCGAGCGUCAUUUCAACCAUCAAGCCCCCGGCUUGUGUUGGGGACCUGCGGCUGCCGCAGGCCCUGAAAACCAGUGGCGGGCUCGCUAGUCACUCCGAGCGUAGUAAUACAUCUCGCUCAGGGCGUGCUGCGGGUUCCGGCCGUUAAAAAAGCCUUAUUUACCCAAGGUUGACCUCGGAUCAGGUAGGAAGACCCGCUGAACUUAAGCAUAUCAAUAAGCGGAGG